Long non-coding RNA from Scaptodrosophila lebanonensis, 449 nucleotides. RefSeq lists it as uncharacterized. The record is from RefSeq and is a predicted model, not a curated record. The transcript has 2 exons. NCBI's taxonomy places the organism in Eukaryota, Metazoa, Arthropoda, Insecta, Diptera, Drosophilidae.
UCAUCAGAGUCUGUCCUGAACACUUCAAAAUUUUUCGUGUGGUUUCAAGGUAGUUCUUUUAGAUUCAAGCCAUUACUAACGAAUCAAAAAUGUGCGGACCUUGCUAUGCACCCUGUGGACCCUGCGGGCCGUGCGGAUCAAUCUGCUCGCCCGUCUGUUUUAGUGAUGGCUGCUGUGGUCCCUGUUCUGGGCCGUGCUGCGGACCUUGCGGACCCUGUGGACCUUGCUGUGGGCCCUGUGGUCCUUGUUGCGCACCUUGUGGGCCUUGUGGUCCCUGUUGCGCCCCUUGUGGACCUUGCUGCGGGCCUUGUGGGCCUUGCUGUGGGCCCUGCUAGCUGGCAAAAUAGCCAUUGAAAUAACAAGAUCGUUGAAUCCCAACAGCUACUUUGGACCACCGAAAUGUCCAAUUGUCCAAAACUUUCGUAAUAAACCAAUAAUGUAGGAAAUUA